Pelobates cultripes (western spadefoot toad) is the source of this 259-nucleotide non-coding RNA. Lineage: Eukaryota; Metazoa; Chordata; Amphibia; Anura; Pelobatidae. The record is from the annotation of a GenBank genome assembly.
CUUAAGCGAUUCAUAGAACCUUUAAAAAGUGAAUUGUAGCAUUUCAUUCUUUGUUUAAAUUGAUUUAGUGCCAACCUCCAUGCCGAUUUUCUGCAGUGAGUACAUACCCCUAUUUGUGACAUGAGUGCCACAUUGUCCAUGCACAUUACAAAUCUUCAGAGGGGCCCUCAUUGUACUUCCCAAAAGGCUCCCAUGUAGCCGCACCUGCAAGCUCCGUAACAUCAGCUUGGACCCAUCAAAAACCCCACAAAUGCUGGAG